UCUAUUUAUAUAGUUUAGAGAAAAACAUUACAUUUUCAUUGUAGAGUCAAAUUUAGUUUUUAUA
RNAcentral lists this transfer RNA (64 nucleotides) under Micronychus sp. UPOL MT0066. RNAcentral describes it as "tRNA-Glu". The record is from RNAcentral. Lineage: Eukaryota; Metazoa; Arthropoda; Insecta; Coleoptera; Lycidae.